This 301-nucleotide ribosomal RNA is filed under the name uncultured bacterium. Its description in RNAcentral is "partial 16S ribosomal RNA". It matches the Rfam family "Bacterial small subunit ribosomal RNA", at positions 509 to 807 of the family's 1533-position model. The record is from RNAcentral.
CAGCCGCCACGGUAAUACGAAGGGGGCUAGCGUUGUUCGGAAUCACUGGGCGUAAAGGGCGCGUAGGCGGCCUGUUAAGUCGGAUGUGAAAGCCCGGGGCUCAACCCCGGAACUGCAUCCGAGACUGGCAGGCUUGAGACCGGGAGAGGAGGGUGGAAUAUCCAGUGUAGAGGUGAAAUUCGUAGAUAUUGGAUGGAACACCGGUGGCGAAAGCGGCUCUCUGGCCCGGAUCUGACGCUGAGGCGCGAAAGCGUGGGGAGCAAACAGGAUUAGAUACCCCCGUAGUCCCUGUCUCUUAUAC